Perca fluviatilis (European perch) is the source of this 90-nucleotide long non-coding RNA. RefSeq lists it as uncharacterized. NCBI's taxonomy places the organism in Eukaryota, Metazoa, Chordata, Actinopteri, Perciformes, Percidae. The transcript has 3 exons. The record is from RefSeq and is a predicted model, not a curated record.
GUUGUCCUCUAGGUGAUGAGAGAGGACAGAUGUGGAGUCAGAGAGACAGGUUGUCCUCUAGGUGAUGAGAGAGAGGACAGAUGUGGAGUC